This is a long non-coding RNA of Oncorhynchus keta (chum salmon), 1715 nucleotides long. RefSeq lists it as uncharacterized. The record is from RefSeq and is a predicted model, not a curated record. Lineage: Eukaryota; Metazoa; Chordata; Actinopteri; Salmoniformes; Salmonidae. The transcript is spliced from 3 exons.
GUGCAUUUACCAUAUGAAAUUUGACCUUGCUCAAAAAUGCAAAAUUGACUGGUCUGAUGAACACAGGAUGGCCGAGCAGUGAUAGUUGUACAUUUCCAUCACUUGUUGUGUUGAUUUCAUCAUGUCCAUUAGGUGAUGUUUUUUCACUAUAGAAUCAUAUUGCAAAUGCACGUGCAUUGUUGUGCAACUGGUAACCCAAAAAUUAAAAUAUGGUUGUAAAUGCAUUUACCGGGACUCCUAUUAUCCAUGCCCGCUAUGGGAGUACCCUACUACGGCCCUCUAUCUAUGGGGGCAGUCCUGAGUGCUUUAUGGACUGUUUAAAAUAUUCUGAUGGAUACGCAUGUUGUGCAACUGGUGAUUGAAAAUAGGCACCUGGUAACCCAAAAAUGAAAAUAUGGUUGUGAAUGCAUUUACCGGUCAUUCUGAUAUUAAUGCCCGCUAUGGGAACACAGGAUGGCCGGGCAGUGAUAGUUGUUCCUUUCCAUCACUCGUUGUGUUGAUUUCAUCAUGUCCAUUAGGUGAUGUUUUUUCACUAUAGAAUCAUAUUGCAAAUGCACGUGCAUUGUUGUGCAACUGGUAACCCAAAAAUAAAAAUAUGGUUGUAAAUGCAUUUACCGGUCAUUCUGAUAUUAAUGCUCGCUAUGGGAACACAGGAUGGCCGGGCAGUGAUAGUUGUACAUUUCCAUCACUCGUUGUGUUGAUUUCAUCAUGUCCAUUAGGUGAUGUUUUUACACUAUAGAAUCAUAUUGCAAGUGCGCGCGCAUUUGCAAUAUGUUUCAAUGUGCAUUUACCAUAUGAAAUUUGACAUGCUCAAAAAUGCAAAAUUGACUGGUCUGAUGAACACAGGAUGGCUGAGCAGUGAUAGUUGUACAUUUCCAUCACUCGUUGUGUUGAUUUCAUCAUGUCCAUUUGUUUAUGUUUUCUCACUUUUGCAAAGUCACUGUGCAUUUGCAAUAUGGUUCAAUGGGCAGGUACCAUCACGAAUUUGUCAUGCUAUAAAAAUCCUGCAGGAAUGUGAAAUUGACUGGCCCGAUGAACUCGGGAUAGCUGGGCAGUGAUUCUGGUUCAUCUCCAUGGCUCGUUAGGGUUGAUUUCAGAAUGUCACUUUUGGUGAUGGUCCCUCUCCGUUUAAACAUAUUGCUAAUGUACAAAAGUCAACUAGCAAGUCAGUGUCCACCAGUCAAUUAGAUGUCAUUCUGACACCAAACUGAUACCAAUUGACACCAAACCCACUUUUUCCAACUCAUUUAGAAGCCAACUAUCACAUAUGUCAGAGCAGGCCCAUAAUUCACAGCGCCAUUAGUUUAAAACAUAAUAAAAACGUAAAACACAUAGUUACGUUCUAACUGCGGGUCCAGGUCAGACAUUAUGUGAAGGCCUAUGUGAGGCGACCCCGAAUCCCGAGUUUCGGCUCGAUAGGUCCUUCGGUGCCCGAGUAAAACCCUAAUUGGUGCUGAAAAUCCACUUUUUUCCAUGCCUUGCUAUGGGGUCCUUGAAUGAGCUAUCGGACCGAAACGUUGGGGUCCGUCUCUAUGGCCCGAGCCGGUUUCAAUGCACCUAGUCUUGUGUCUCUGAGACUUUUCUAAAUGUCGCCAUUUUCGUAAUGGUCAAAAUGAAUUGAAGUCAUUGCAAAUGUACGAGGCUAUUUCUCGGUCCGAGAACCUUCUAGAGCCACCUAACUCACCACGCACUAUCGACCCGAGGUCUAGAACAGG